This 745-nucleotide ribosomal RNA is filed under the name Salmonella enterica. RNAcentral's name for it is "partial 23S ribosomal RNA". It matches the Rfam family "Bacterial large subunit ribosomal RNA", at positions 1 to 678 of the family's 2925-position model. The record is from RNAcentral. Lineage: Bacteria; Pseudomonadati; Pseudomonadota; Gammaproteobacteria; Enterobacterales; Enterobacteriaceae.
GGGUUGUGAGGUUAAGCGACUAAGCGUACACGGUGGAUGCCCUGGCAGUCAGAGGCGAUGAAGGGCGUGCUAAUCUGCGAUAAGCGCCGGUAAGGUGAUAUGAACCGUUAUAACCGGCGAUACCCGAAUGGGGAAACCCAGUGUGACUCGUCACACUAUCAUUAACUGAAUCCAUAGGUUAAUGAGGCGAACCGGGGGAACUGAAACAUCUAAGUACCCCGAGGAAAAGAAAUCAACCGAGAUUCCCCCAGUAGCGGCGAGCGAACGGGGAGGAGCCCAGAGCCUGAAUCAGCAUGUGUGUUAGUGGAAGCGUCUGGAAAGGCGCGCGAUACAGGGUGACAGCCCCGUACACAAAAGCGCAUGUGCUGUGAGCUCGAUGAGUAGGGCGGGACACGUGGUAUCCUGUCUGAAUAUGGGGGGACCAUCCUCCAAGGCUAAAUACUCCUGACUGACCGAUAGUGAACCAGUACCGUGAGGGAAAGGCGAAAAGAACCCCGGCGAGGGGAGUGAAAAAGAACCUGAAACCGUGUACGUACAAGCAGUGGGAGCCCCACCACUAAGCCAGUGGUGAACUCCACAUACGCAUCCUUUGCUGAGGAUACGGUUAACGGAGCGAAAGCGACGUUCAACCGCAAAAGAAGCAGAGGGGGCUUAGUGGUGGGGUGACUGCGUACCUUUUGUAUAAUGGGUCAGCGACUUAUAUUCUGUAGCAAGGUUAACCGCAUAGGGGAGCCGGAGGGAAACC